CAGUAGCCACGGUAAUACGUAGGGCGCAAGCGUUGUCCGGAAUUAUUGGGCGUAAAGAGCUCGUAGGCGGUCUGUCGCGUCUGGUGUGAAAUCCCGAGGCUCAACCUCGGGCUUGCAUCGGGUACGGGCAGACUAGAGUGCGGUAGGGGAGACUGGAAUUCCUGGUGUAGCGGUGGAAUGCGCAGAUAUCAGGAGGAACACCGAUGGCGAAGGCAGGUCUCUGGGCCGCAACUGACGCUGAGGAGCGAAAGCGUGGGGAGCGAACAGGAUUAGAUACCCCGGUAGUCCCUGUCUCUUAUAC
This 301-nucleotide ribosomal RNA is filed under the name uncultured bacterium. RNAcentral's name for it is "partial 16S ribosomal RNA". It matches the Rfam family "Bacterial small subunit ribosomal RNA", at positions 509 to 807 of the family's 1533-position model. The record is from RNAcentral.